Long non-coding RNA from Sardina pilchardus (European sardine), 1382 nucleotides. RefSeq lists it as uncharacterized. NCBI's taxonomy places the organism in Eukaryota, Metazoa, Chordata, Actinopteri, Clupeiformes, Clupeidae. The transcript is spliced from 2 exons. The record is from RefSeq and is a predicted model, not a curated record.
AGUGAGACUACCAUAGGGUCUAGCACUUGUUGUUCUGAGUUCACAUUCCUCAAGCAACAACCUUCUUGGUCCUCUUGCCUGUUAACUUGCUUUGUUUCUUUCAUUUUGAUUUCAAGUUGUUUUUUUCAUCCGUUUCUGCAAAAAGUAGACGUGAUGACAGAGGACAUUUUAAGUGGAGCGAGGUGUGGAUCUAACACGAGCGAAAGGCUGGACACAUCAAGCACCACCAGGUGUGCCGAAGGAAGACGCGCACCCAUGAAUUUUCUCCUUCAUUCCACCGGAGUCUGUCGUUUGUCAUAUCAGAUUUCAGUGGGGUGAAGUUUAAAACACAUGGGACUCUCCCACCUCUCCAGCCUCAGCCAUGGCAUCCAGGUUCACCUCAUCCAGGGAUUGUAACUGGACUUAUAGAUAGAUAGAUCGAUAGAUAGAUAGAUACUUUAUUGAUCCCCAAGGGGAAAUUCAAGAAUGAAUGUAUUGAUAUUAAAUGUUCACUGCCUACACAGUACAAACUACACAGUACUAAGUAAUGACUAUUUCCACCAAUAGUCAUUAUUUUAUUCAUGCAGAAUUGUAAUGUAGUAACGUAAGCAGUGUCCACUUGUGUGGUUGUGUUGGCGCAGCUCUUUAGCAGCUGGUGUCAGCUCAGAUCAGUAGAGGCAAGGCUAGUGCAAUGUGCACUCCCCUUCGCCAUCUACCCCAUGCCGCCGUUCAAAGAGGGACGCCAUUUGCACACAUUGUCAAGAAGCCUUUCACUUUACGGUGCUCCGUUUGAUGCAGUCCGCCCCUCCCAAAUCACUCCAAACGCUAGGUGGAGAGGCAGUGGUUCACCCUGGGGUCUUGUAAAGUUCAUCCAAGAAAGUAAGCCCCCACCCCCAUACAUUGUGUCUGAGCUCUAAGUUCUUGUCUUUAACCAUCUCCAUUAAACAUACUGCAAAAGUAUUGUACUCAUAAUACUUCCGCAAUGUGUGUGUGUGUGUGUGUGUGUGUGUGAGCGUUUCUUUUUACCUCCUGCAGGGGGCAAAUUCCCCUGUUUGCCCCUGCUUUCAUUUCCCUGCCCUGCUGCCACUAAUUAGCCAGUAUGUGCCAGGGUGCCCCUACACUAAUGCAGAGCAAGUUUAAGGUUUCAGGUGCUAUCCCAACGUGCCUUACUUUCACACACCCGUGCAGAAAAUCCUAUUUAGUGUGGCUACUUAAAGCUUAACGCCAUUACUCCCCAGCCACACAUAAUAAAGCGAGAUCAAUUCCUGGAAACAGAGGCUGGCAGGCAAAAGGAGAUUUGGAGCUUGUUGAUAUGCCUGUUUGAAGUCAGUCUAACUGAUCCCUCCUGCUGUAAGCUUUUGCUAUCUGUGUGUUUUUAAAUAAAGAAUUGACAUGAAAAGUAA